This 567-nucleotide ribosomal RNA is filed under the name Ectopleura larynx. RNAcentral describes it as "partial large subunit ribosomal RNA". The record is from RNAcentral. Lineage: Eukaryota; Metazoa; Cnidaria; Hydrozoa; Anthoathecata; Tubulariidae.
CUCUAUAAAAAUAUUAGAGGUGAUGCCUGCCCAGUGGGGAUGGUAUAAAAAUUAUAGUGAAAUUUUAUUUUCCCUAAACGGAUGCGGUAACUCUGACUGUAAUAAAGUAGCAUAAUUAAUUGUCAUUUAAUUGGUGGAGAGAAUGAAUGGCUAAACGUAUGUCUCAUUGUCUUGGGGGAAAGUUUUUGAAAUUAGAAUAAUAGUGAAGAUCCUAUUAAUCACCGUUAGACGAAAAGACCCUAUAGAGCUUGACUAUACUCUGGAAAUGACUUUCUGGAUUGGUAGUUUAGUUGGGGCGACUAUCUUUUAUAAGUAACAAAGAUAAGCAUAAUAAUGAAAAAGUUUUAUUGUUUAAUUAAUAAAUUUAACAAUUACUAAAGUAGGCUAUAAUGACCCAUUAGAAUUAAAAUAAAUCUAAUGAUUAUUAAAUAAAAGCUACCUUAGGGAUAACAGGAUAAUUUUGUUUUAGAGAUCAUAUCAAAUACAAAGUUUGUCACCUCUAUGUUGAAUUAAGAUGACCGAAUAAUGCARAAGUUAUUUAAGGUAGGUCUGUUCGACCUUUAAAAU